This 327-nucleotide ribosomal RNA is filed under the name uncultured bacterium. Its description in RNAcentral is "bacterial SSU rRNA". It matches the Rfam family "Bacterial small subunit ribosomal RNA", at positions 8 to 334 of the family's 1533-position model. The record is from RNAcentral.
AGGGUUUGAUUCUGGCUCAGGAUGAACGCUGGCGGCGUGCCUAACACAUGCAAGUCGAACGGUUAAGGCGCCUUCGGGCGCGAAUAGAGUGGCGAACGGGUGAGUAACACGUGACCAACCUGCCCCCCUCCCCGGGAUAACGCGAGGAAACCCGCGCUAAUACCGGAUACUCCGCCCCUCCCGCAUGGGAGGGGCGGGAAAGCCCCGACGGAGGGGGAUGGGGUCGCGGCCCAUUAGGUAGACGGCGGGGCAACGGCCCACCGUGCCUGCGAUGGGUAGCCGGGUUGAGAGACCGACCGGCCACAUUGGGACUGAGAUACGGCCCAG